RNAcentral lists this transfer RNA (79 nucleotides) under Erythrobacter sp. Its description in RNAcentral is "tRNA-Leu". It matches the Rfam family "tRNA". Rfam says of the family: Transfer RNA (tRNA) molecules are approximately 80 nucleotides in length. The record is from RNAcentral. Lineage: Bacteria; Pseudomonadati; Pseudomonadota; Alphaproteobacteria; Sphingomonadales; Erythrobacteraceae.
CGGGCGUGGCGGAACUGGUAGACGCGCUGGAUUUAGGUUCCAGUGGAGCAAUCCGUGGGGGUUCGAGUCCCUUCGCCCG